GAAAUGCGAUAAGUAAUGUGAAUUGCAGAAUUCAGUGAAUCAUCGAAUCUUUGAACGCACAUUGCGCCCGCCAGUAUUCUGGCGGGCAUCCCUGUUCGAGCGUCAUUACAACCCUCAGGCCCCCGGGCCUGGCGUUGGGGAUCGGCGGAAGCCCCCUGCGGGCACAACGCCGUCCCCCAAAUACAGUGGCGGUCCCGCCGCAGCUUCCAUUGCGUAGUAGCUAACACCUCGCAACUGGAGAGCGGCGCGGCCACGCCGUAAAACACCCAACUUCUGAAUGUUGACCUCGAAUCAGGUAGGAAUACCCGCUGAACUUAAGC
RNAcentral lists this unclassified non-coding RNA (320 nucleotides) under plant metagenome. RNAcentral's name for it is "partial contains 5.8S ribosomal RNA, internal transcribed spacer 2, and large subunit ribosomal RNA". The stretch from base 1 to 105 matches the Rfam family "5.8S ribosomal RNA", at positions 50 to 154 of the family's 154-position model. The record is from RNAcentral.